This 404-nucleotide ribosomal RNA is filed under the name Actinomycetes bacterium. RNAcentral describes it as "Actinobacteria bacterium partial 16S ribosomal RNA". It matches the Rfam family "Bacterial small subunit ribosomal RNA", at positions 355 to 776 of the family's 1533-position model. The record is from RNAcentral. Lineage: Bacteria; Bacillati; Actinomycetota; Actinomycetes.
UGGGGAAUAUUGGACAAUGGGCGCAAGCCUGAUCCAGCCAUGCCGCGUGAGUGAUGAAGGCCCUAGGGUUGUAAAGCUCUUUCACCGGUGAAGAUAAUGACGGUAACCGGAGAAGAAGCCCCGGCUAACUUCGUGCCAGCAGCGGCGGUAAUACGAAGGGGGCUAGCGUUGUUCGGAUUUACUGGGCGUAAAGCGCACGUAGGCGGACUUUUAAGUCAGGGGUGAAAUCCCGGGGCUCAACCCCGGAACUGCCUUUGAUACUGGAAGUCUUGAGUAUGGUAGAGGUGAGUGGAAUUCCGAGUGUAGAGGUGAAAUGCGUAGAUAUUCGGAGGAACACCAGUGGCGAAGGCGGCUCACUGGACCAUUACUGACGCUGAGGUGCGAAAGCGUGGGGAGCAAACAGG